Long non-coding RNA from Jaculus jaculus (lesser Egyptian jerboa), 164 nucleotides. RefSeq lists it as uncharacterized. Lineage: Eukaryota; Metazoa; Chordata; Mammalia; Rodentia; Dipodidae. The record is from RefSeq and is a predicted model, not a curated record. The transcript is spliced from 3 exons.
GACACAGUCUUCCCCAUGAUGGGCUGGAGCUCCAGAGCAAACCCCAGGCCAGCCCUUGCACCAAAGCCUUUAGAAGGCUUACCAAUGUGUUAGGAAUGUUUCAGAAAGAAAGACAGUGCAGGCCCCUGGGAACCGUGUGUCCUUAGAGGCAAACAAGUGGCAAG